GUAGGUGAACCUGCGGAAGGAUCAUUAACGCAUCUCUGGCGGCGAGGGUGCGCCCUGCUCCGGACCGAAAGGCCGUGCAGCGGGCUAUCCCGGACCGCUAAACCUUUGCAAACCCACCGUGCACUUUUGUCGGCAAAAGGGCCUUUGCGGGCCCCGAGCCGGAUCACAAACACUUUGUUAAACGAAUGCAAGCGGACAUUGAGCCGCCUAAACAUUAAACAACUUUCAACAACGGAUCUCUUGGCUCUCG
Molecule: unclassified non-coding RNA, 250 nt
Filed under: plant metagenome
Description: partial contains small subunit ribosomal RNA, internal transcribed spacer 1, and 5.8S ribosomal RNA
Source: RNAcentral